This 582-nucleotide small RNA is filed under the name human gut metagenome. The record is from RNAcentral.
GAAGGGCCUAAAAAUCCUUUGAAGGGCACAUCGAUGAAGUCCCUGGUGUCUGCUUUUUACGCCCAGUUUGGGGUGGAUGCUGGGGGUUAAGGAUUCCGGGCGCGUCCCAAUGGCAUGGGACAUACGACCCGGUUUCCGUGGAGACCUGGUCUUGUGCGACGACGGACAACUCCUCAUGUUCGAGGCCCGCUCGCGUACGAACCAGGAUAGGAACCUGCAAGGCAGUGCGCAGAGUCGUGUGCUGCGUGCAGUGUAGCCUGCCUUGAGUGAGCAUGAGGGAAAAGAGGAUCAUGCAGUUGGGUGUUUCCGGCCGGAACAGUCACUGAAAUCGCUUCUGGAAACCAUGCUUGCAAAAGAGGCUAAGACUAUAGCACAUAUUGUCGUGGAAAACACCUAGGCUGUCGUAACUGGGCAGACGGGGGAUUGCGGUACGGACUAAGUGGCAAUCGGGUACUCAGAUUGGCAACGUCUGAGCAGAGGAAUCAAACGGAAACGGCCUGCGCGGCAACGGCAGGUUUCCUCCGGGGAAAGCCAACCCGACCUAAGCCGUAAGAUUUAUCCCGUCUGCUGCCGUUUCUUAAA